GCUCUUUUCGGAGAGAGAGGCGCACGGGUGAGUAACACGUGGGAAUAUACCCUUGAGUGCGGAAUAACUAUUGGAAACGAUAGCUAAUACCGCAUACGCCCUACGGGGGAAAGAUUUAUCGCUCAAGGAUUAGCCCGCGUCUGAUUAGCUAGUUGGUGAGGUAAUGGCUCACCAAGGCGACGAUCAGUAGCUGGUUUGAGAGAAUGAUCAGCCACACUGGGACUGAGACACGGCCCAGACUCCUACGGGAGGCAGCAGUGGGGAAUAUUGGACAAUGGGGGCAACCCUGAUCCAGCCAUGCCGCGUGAGUGAAGAAGGCCUUCGGGUUGUAAAGCUCUUUCAGACGUGAAGAUGAUGACGGUAACGUCAGAAGAAGCCCC
RNAcentral lists this ribosomal RNA (380 nucleotides) under uncultured Alphaproteobacteria bacterium. Its description in RNAcentral is "bacterial SSU rRNA". It matches the Rfam family "Bacterial small subunit ribosomal RNA", at positions 72 to 494 of the family's 1533-position model. Lineage: Bacteria; Pseudomonadati; Pseudomonadota; Alphaproteobacteria. The record is from RNAcentral.